GACGAACGCUGGCGGCGUGCCUAACACAUGCAAGUCGAGCGAGAAAAGGGGGCAACUCCCUGAGUACAGCGGCGCACGGGUGAGUAACACGUAGGUAACCUCGCCCUCGAGCUCGGAAUAACCUACCGAAAGGUGGGCUAAUACCGGAUAUGACCACGGGAGUUUCGGCUCCUGCGGUGAAAGGUGGCCUCUACCUGUAAGCUACCACUCAAGGAUGGGCCUGCGUGCCAUUAGCAGUUGGUGAGGUAACGGCUCACCAAGGCUAUGAUGGCUAGCUGGUCUGAGAGGAUGGCCAGCCACACUGGGACUGAAACACGGCCCAGACUCCUACGGGAGGCAGCAGUGGGGGAUAUUGCG
RNAcentral lists this ribosomal RNA (357 nucleotides) under uncultured bacterium. RNAcentral describes it as "bacterial SSU rRNA". It matches the Rfam family "Bacterial small subunit ribosomal RNA", at positions 28 to 368 of the family's 1533-position model. The record is from RNAcentral.